GUAAACAAACUAGUACGAAGCGUAGACAGCCGCUAGCUUCGGUUGUGGUUUUAUUUCAACAGAUUUUACAAAAAAUCGUUGCGUUUAUCAUGAAUUAAACGUUUUUACACAAAAUUUGUCGAAAUAAAAACAUUACCGAAGCUAGCGGCUGUCUACGCUUCGUACUAGUUU
This 171-nucleotide microRNA precursor is filed under the name Anopheles dirus. Its description in RNAcentral is "microRNA mir-75". The record is from RNAcentral. Lineage: Eukaryota; Metazoa; Arthropoda; Insecta; Diptera; Culicidae.